UUCUGUGUUGACUGUCAUACCAAGCUUUGGCGAAUAGCAGAAAGUGCCUGCCGGUUAUACCCAAGAACUCUCCACAAGCUGUUAUGAUGCGGAACGCGAGAAAGACCACCUAAAGACCGAAUUGAGCCAACUUGUGCCUUCUAACCACUCACACCUCCACUUAUUCAGAGCAGAGCACUUGGAUGAGUUCACUGUGCUUCACUGACAGGGAGGAUCAUAUAGAAGAAUAUGGCUGAAGUACAGUGGCUAUUCCCCGGUGAAAUCAUAGUAUACUGCGGCCUCCAACACCUGGCCUCAUAUGAUCCUCCCGCCUCAGCCUCUUGAGUACCUGGGACUACAGGCCAGUGCCACCCUGCCUGGCUCAUGU
Long non-coding RNA from Microcebus murinus (gray mouse lemur), 367 nucleotides. RefSeq lists it as uncharacterized. The record is from RefSeq and is a predicted model, not a curated record. Lineage: Eukaryota; Metazoa; Chordata; Mammalia; Primates; Cheirogaleidae.